GCAGGUGAGCGCGUUGGGUGCCUCGGACUGUAAAUCCGUCGCGAAAGCUACGAAGGUUCGAAUCCUUCACCUGCCA
Molecule: transfer RNA, 76 nt
Filed under: Intrasporangium sp.
Lineage: Bacteria; Bacillati; Actinomycetota; Actinomycetes; Micrococcales; Intrasporangiaceae
Description: tRNA-Tyr
Rfam family: tRNA
About the family: Transfer RNA (tRNA) molecules are approximately 80 nucleotides in length. Their secondary structure includes four short double-helical elements and three loops (D, anti-codon, and T loops).
Source: RNAcentral